Long non-coding RNA from Vombatus ursinus (common wombat), 475 nucleotides. RefSeq lists it as uncharacterized. Lineage: Eukaryota; Metazoa; Chordata; Mammalia; Diprotodontia; Vombatidae. The record is from RefSeq and is a predicted model, not a curated record. The transcript is spliced from 3 exons.
AGACCCCACUGCUCCUCUUCCAGCAGACCCCGAACCACUGCAAAAUCCUGCCUCAGCUGCAGUGCUCCCUGCAGGCUGAGGGCCAGAGCAAGGCCUACCUGAACCGGAUCUUCUGAGUGAGAAUGUGGUUGAGCCAGGCGUCAAGAAGUGCAGUCAAGGCCUGUGUCCCUGAGAUGAGAAGCUCCUGUAAUUCUAGGGCGGAAAGACGUGCAGAAGCUUAAAGGUUAUAAUGACCAGGCUGGAUGGGGCAUAAAAGACCUGACACAGAUUCCCCUUUCCAAACUAGUGGCCUCUAGUUGAAGACCUCGAGGGGGGAGACCUCAUCCUGGAGCACCACUCGUUGUGCCUAGUUCUCCCUUCUAGAGCCAAGCAGAAAAAUCUAACCCUUCUCUGACAUGACUUGUGAAGUUCAAAUCUGGCCUCUAACACUUACUAGCUCUGUGACCCUGGGCUACCACUUAGCCUCUUUGCCUCA